UAGGGAAUCUUCGGCAAUGGGGGCAACCCUGACCGAGCAACGCCGCGUGAGUGAAGAAGGUUUUCGGAUCGUAAAGCUCUGUUGUAAGAGAAGAACGAGUGUGAGAGUGGAAAGUUCACACUGUGACGGUAACUUACCAGAAAGGGACGGCUAACUACGUGCCAGCAGCCGCGGUAAUACGUAGGUCCCGAGCGUUAUCCGGAUUUAUUGGGCGUAAAGCGAGCGCAGGCGGUUAGAUAAGUCUGAAGUUAAAGGCUGUGGCUUAACCAUAGUACGCUUUGGAAACUGUUUAACUUGAGUGCAGAAGGGGAGAGUGGAAUUCCAUGUGUAGCGGUGAAAUGCGUAGAUAUAUGGAGGAACACCGGUGGCGAAAGCGGCUCUCUGGUCUGUAACUGACGCUGAUGUGCGAAAGCGUGGGGAUCAAACAGGAUUAGAUACCCUGGUAGUCCACGCCGUAACGAUGAGUGCUAGGUGUUAGACCCUUUCCGGGGUUUAGUGUCGCAGCUAACGCAUUAAGCACUCCGCCUGGGGAGUACGACCGCAAGGUUG
This 549-nucleotide ribosomal RNA is filed under the name uncultured bacterium. RNAcentral's name for it is "bacterial SSU rRNA". It matches the Rfam family "Bacterial small subunit ribosomal RNA", at positions 355 to 896 of the family's 1533-position model. The record is from RNAcentral.